Molecule: ribosomal RNA, 539 nt
Filed under: Antecaridina sp. ET6
Lineage: Eukaryota; Metazoa; Arthropoda; Malacostraca; Decapoda; Atyidae
Description: partial 16S ribosomal RNA
Rfam family: Bacterial large subunit ribosomal RNA
Source: RNAcentral
GUCUGUUAUGAAAAUAUUAAUAGUCUAGCCUGCCCACUGAAGUUUUGAAGGGCCGCGGUAUUUGGACCGUGCUAAGGUAGCAUAAUCAAUAGUCUUUUAAUUGGAGUCUGGAAUGAAUGGUUGGAUGAAAUAUAAGUUGUCUUGGAUUAUAAAGGUUGAAUUUUACUUUUGAGUGAAAAGGCUUAAAUGAAUUGGGGGGACGAUAAGACCCUGUGAAGCUUUAUGUUAUUAAGGUGUUCAUGAAUAAUAUUUUAGUGGUUAGGUUUAUACUUUAAUAAUAUUGUGUUGGGGCGAUAGGAAUAAAAUGUGUAACUGUUUUUAUUAUACAAAUAAUGAUAUUUAGAAUGUUGAUCUUUAAUUUGAGAUUAAGAGAUUAAAGUUACUCCAGGGAUAACAGCGUAAUUCUUUUUGAGAGUUCUUAUCGACGAAAGUAUUUGCGACCUCGAUGUUGAAUUAAAAUUUCGCCAAGGUGUAGGAGUUUUGGUUGUAGGUCUGUUCGACCUUUAAAAUUUUACAUGAUUUGAGUUCAGACCGGCGUG